RNAcentral lists this ribosomal RNA (435 nucleotides) under uncultured Flavobacterium sp. RNAcentral's name for it is "bacterial SSU rRNA". It matches the Rfam family "Bacterial small subunit ribosomal RNA", at positions 358 to 790 of the family's 1533-position model. Lineage: Bacteria; Pseudomonadati; Bacteroidota; Flavobacteriia; Flavobacteriales; Flavobacteriaceae. The record is from RNAcentral.
GGAAUAUUGGACAAUGGGCGCAAGCCUGAUCCAGCCAUGCCGCGUGCAGGAUGACGGUCCUAUGGAUUGUAAACUGCUUUUAUACAGGAAGAAACAGUUCUACGUGUAGAACCUUGACGGUACUGUAAGAAUAAGGAUCGGCUAACUCCGUGCCAGCAGCCGCGGUAAUACGGAGGAUCCAAGCGUUAUCCGGAAUCAUUGGGUUUAAAGGGUCCGUAGGCGGUUUAAUAAGUCAGUGGUGAAAGCCCAUCGCUCAACGGUGGAACGGCCAUUGAUACUGUUAGACUUGAAUUAUUAGGAAGUAACUAGAAUAUGUAGUGUAGCGGUGAAAUGCUUAGAGAUUACAUGGAAUACCAAUUGCGAAGGCAGGUUACUACUAAUUGAUUGACGCUGAUGGACGAAAGCGUGGGUAGCGAACAGGAUUAGAUACCCGUG